CAUGUCCUUUUGAUUAUAAUUUAAGGUCUAAUCUGCUCAAUGAGGAGUUAAAUUGCCGCGGUAUUUUGACCGUGCAAAGGUAGCAUAAUAAUUAGUUUUUUAAUUGAAAGCUGGAAUGAAUGAUUGGACGAGAAAAUUAUUGUCUCUUUUUAAAUUUUUGUUUAAUUUAACUUUUAAGUUAAAAGGCUUAAAUUUUUGUUAAAGACGAGAAGACCCUAUAGAGUUUAACAUUUACUUAAUUAUUGACUGUUUGGGAUAGCGGGUUUUAUAGUUUUUAAUUAUUUAGUUGUUUAGUUGGGGUGACUGGAAGAUGAAUUUAACUCUUCUAUUAUUUUAAAUCAAUGAUUUUUGAAUAUAUAAUCUAUUUUUUAUAAAUUUAAGAUAAAUUACCUUAGGGAUAACAGCGUAAUUUCUUCUUAGAGUUCUUAUUGAUGAAGAAGUUUGCGACCUCGAUGUUGGAUUAAAAUUUAUUUUUGGUGCAGAAGCUAGAAUAUUGAGUCUGUUCGACUCUUAAAAUUUUACAUGAUCUGAGU
Molecule: ribosomal RNA, 533 nt
Filed under: Adrastini sp. UPOL RK0059
Lineage: Eukaryota; Metazoa; Arthropoda; Insecta; Coleoptera; Elateridae
Description: partial 16S ribosomal RNA
Rfam family: Bacterial large subunit ribosomal RNA
Source: RNAcentral